This 301-nucleotide ribosomal RNA is filed under the name uncultured bacterium. RNAcentral's name for it is "partial 16S ribosomal RNA". It matches the Rfam family "Bacterial small subunit ribosomal RNA", at positions 509 to 809 of the family's 1533-position model. The record is from RNAcentral.
CAGUAGCCACGGUAAUACAGAGGGUGCAAGCGUUAAUCGGAAUUACUGGGCGUAAAGCGCGCGUAGGUGGUUUGUUAAGUUGGAUGUGAAAGCCCCGGGCUCAACCUGGGAACUGCAUCCAAAACUGGCAAGCUAGAGUACGGUAGAGGGUGGUGGAAUUUCCUGUGUAGCGGUGAAAUGCGUAGAGAUCGGGAGGAACAUCAGUGGCGAAGGCGGCCAUCUGGGACAACACUGACGCUGAGGCACGAAAGCGUGGGGAGCAAACAGGAUUAGAUACCCCUGUAGUCCCUGUCUCUUAUAA